GCUCAUGGCUCAGGACGAACGCUGGCGGCGCGCCUAACACAUGCAAGUCGAACGAGAGAUGAGGAGCUUGCUCUUCAAAUCGAGUGGCGAACGGGUGAGUAACGCGUGAGGAACCUGCCUCAAAGAGGGGGACAACAGUUGGAAACGACUGCUAAUACCGCAUAAGCGCACAGAGCUGCAUGGCUCAGUGUGAAAAACUCCGGUGGUAUAAGAUGGACCCGCGUUGGA
RNAcentral lists this ribosomal RNA (228 nucleotides) under uncultured bacterium. Its description in RNAcentral is "partial 16S ribosomal RNA". It matches the Rfam family "Bacterial small subunit ribosomal RNA", at positions 15 to 240 of the family's 1533-position model. The record is from RNAcentral.